UCUACAAUGAACUCAAACAAAUUUACAAGAAAAAAACAAACAACCCCAUCAAAAAGUGGGCAAAGGAUAUGAACAGACACUUCUCAAAAGAAGACAUUUAUGGAGCCAAAAAACACAUGAAAAAAUUCUCGCUGUAUAUUUUCCCAGCAUCUGAUCUCUGGUGAGAUAGGAAGGUAACAUAUCCAUAAGAAGAGUGAGAUACUCUGGGUUCUAUUAAUUAAUUAUAUAUCCCUCAUGUUAAUUAAGCUCUCUGAAUUUUUCAUUUAACUCUCUAAUGGCUAUUAUUUAUUUGUUUGCUCUCUCUCUCUUUUUUUUUUUUUUGGCUGUACAGUUACCCAUAUAAAUUUACUCAUGUGCAUACCAUGGUUCCAUUUGUUUUAGCAAUAGGAGACUGGAUGGUUUGUGAUAUAGUUUGGAUAUAUGUCCCCGCCCAAAUCUCUGUUGAAUUGUAAUCCCCAGUAUUGGAAGUGGAGCCUGGUGGGAGGUGAUUGGAUAAUAGAGGUGGAUUACUCAU
This 514-nucleotide long non-coding RNA is filed under the name Pan troglodytes (chimpanzee). RNAcentral describes it as "long non-coding RNA NONPTRT013492". The record is from RNAcentral. Lineage: Eukaryota; Metazoa; Chordata; Mammalia; Primates; Hominidae.